RNAcentral lists this transfer RNA (72 nucleotides) under Capra hircus (goat). It matches the Rfam family "tRNA". From Rfam's summary of the family: Transfer RNA (tRNA) molecules are approximately 80 nucleotides in length. Lineage: Eukaryota; Metazoa; Chordata; Mammalia; Artiodactyla; Bovidae. The record is from Rfam by way of RNAcentral. RNAcentral also lists the same sequence under 1 other name.
UCCCUGGUGGCUCAAAGGGUAAAGAGUCUGCCUGCAAUGCAGGAGACCCAGGUUCAAUUCCUGGGUGGGGAA